GAGGAUUUGACUAAAAUAGGAGAGGGAAUGGACCUGUCAGGGCUGUGUGUGUUUUCACGAGUGUUUAAUGGAAACAGCCAAGUCAAGGCAGAGGUCAAAAGGAUUGGACAUUUUUCCUUUUUAAUUGAGAGAGGGCAGCAGGAUGGAAAAGACAUCAGUCAAAACAGUGACACAGAUGGUAAAGGAGAGAGGGGGGGUGUCUGCUCGGUGAGACUGGACAGACUCAAAAGAAGGUUGAGAAACAGGUGAACGGGGUUGUGUGUUUAGUCCAGCGUGGAUCAUAAUAAUGGGCUAAAGUGAAAGAUGAGACACAAAGACAGAGACCGGCCAUGUCAAAUUAACUUCAAGUGUUUUUAAAGCUGAUCUGGAAUAAGACUUAAUACAAGCGUUUGGAUUCCACUUUCUGGUUCUCGUAAGACAAGACGUUUGUGUAGGGAUAAAAUGCUGCAAAAUAUUUCUUUAUUUGUUGACAAGCGAGUGAUCACAGCAGACCUGAGGCCAAACUUAAAGAGUUAAAGGGUUAGUUCACCCAAAAUAACGAUGAAGCGUUCGACUUAAAAGUCUUUCAGGCAAACACAUGCUAUACAUUUGUGUUCAUACAAUAAAGUCUGGAGUUAAUACACUCCUUGGAUCAGAUACAUGUUAAACCAGGUAAACAUGUUAAAAUGAUCAGCCUAUGGCGCGUAGCCCAAAUGUGGGAGGCUCGGUGAAAUAUUACUUGUAAUGUUUUACCAUAAAUGUAAAGUUUAAGGGUAAAUGUUAUGUACCGUAAAAGUAUUACAUUACAUAAGAUUUACUCUAAAACAGGAGUGCAGAGAUCAAAGUCAGGCCAGUGGCGUCCCCCAGCAUGUGUCACUGCAUAUAUAUAUUUUUUUUUAUAAAUAUGCAGUGACACUUUUUUAACUCAAAGUUUCUUAAUCUCUUAAUUUUUCUCUUUCUGUACCUGUAUUAUGCUGCUGUAAAUUUGGAAUUUCCUCCCCACUAUUAAAAAAUCAUCUUAUCUUAUCUUCUAUGCCAUUGUCAAUUGGCUGGUUUUGCCACCACUCAAGAGUCGUAACUAUUGACGAUGCUGACCUUGCAAUUUACUUCUGCCAGUUCAAAACUUUCAUAUUCUCAAUUAACUCCGUGCAACACAACAGUUUGUCACACUUUAAUGCGACCGGGCUAAAUUGCAUCAUUUCAAUCAAAGUAAAUCCAUUCAGAUUUAUAUACUUUCUAAUCAGAACUUUCCACCGAUGCACAGCUGAGGCUCGUUAAAGUGUCAAGUUGUAUUAAUAGUAGUUGAACCUAAACCAAAGUAUAAAACUGUGAAACUGAGCCAAUGAUGACAAGAGGAGGGAAAAGUGAUCAGUCAUCCUAAAGCUACUUGGAUAUAAAUUAUUUAACAGCUGUGAUGGUAAUCCAUAAGACUUUCAGCUUUGAAGUAAAAAAAUUACCUGCUGCUGGUGUUUGGGGGAAAAAGUCACAUGGUUACCAACGUCUGGAAUGUUUGCAUAAAUUUUAGGACAAUAAAGCCGAGAGUUAUUGAGAUAUUUAAGUCUCCAACAUCCAACAUUAUAGGCAUUCCCAGGAGUUAUGAAGCUAGCAUAGAAAAAUGUACGAUAGCAGCAUCUGUGUGUAUAGUCAAUGUCUAUUUCUGCACAGCUGAGGAGCUUUAAGUGGAAAAAUAACGAUAAUUGCGUUGACGAUUGUUCCCCAGAGGCUAAUAAAUAGCAUUUUUGGAAUUUCUAAUAAGGGUAUGUUUUCUUUAAAAAGGACCCACAGUCCUCUAAUUCAUUCUCGAUGACGAACUAUGUUAGUCUUUAUAGAACAACUUAAUGCAAGCCUGUGUUUUCUUUUUAUCAUUGGCUCUCUGUAAAAGGAGAAGAUAAAAUACAGUCCAGGCCACCAGCCAGCAUUGCACAGUAGUUGCGUAGUGAUGACAUACACCAUUAGCUCCGGUAAACACUGAAAUCUUUACUUUAUAGAUAACGGAGUCAGGCCCCCUACGCCCUCUUCACUUCCCACUUAUCCAGCCCUCUGUCCAUACUAUCUUUUCUUUAACUUCACACAGCAAUCCUUUCUGCCGCUGGCGUGGAGUCGCUCAGAGUUCAUAGGAAAUUAUUUUUAGCUGAAGGGGGUUACCGAAAAAGAAAGCUGAUGUGGGGGCAGUAAAAAAAGCUUUUUUACUAUGGUACAAAGAGAGACAGUAUUAAGAGCUCAUUCAAAGAGGGAUAGAUGGAUAUUUACAACUGUUAAUAUCAAGGACAGUGUGGGAAACCAUAAAAAAACUGUCCAUCAACUCAAGUUAAAAGCCUUGAGAAAGCAUUUUUGGAAAAAGCCACUCAUUGUCAGUGAUUGUUUCCCACGAUCACAUUACUUUCUGUAUCGCUUUUGAUUAUUCUCUGGUUUUCAGAUUUCUGUUUCCACACUUCUCUCUGCUCCACUCGCUGUGUAGGCCAAAGGAAGGAGAUGCCACCCACCUCAAUGUUUACCUCAAUGUAGAAUAAAGUUUUAGCAACAUUUGGAACAUAAUUGGAUGAAUUGUAAAGCCACCCAGAAUUGUCAUUUAAACAGUCUGCAGCUCUUUCCUCAUUGGUGGUUUUGCUUAUGAAAUAUCAGAAAACAGAGAAAGAUGCCCCAAACUUUCCCUAAACCCGAGGUGGCAUCUGAGAAUCCUGUUGUUUGUUAGAACCAUCAGGCCAAAACCAAAAUAGGUUUGUACAUUAAAGGGAUAUUCCGGAGUAAAAUUAAAGUCAAACACACUGUAACACCCAGUUAGACACCCCAUCAAGAGAUAAAUGCCACCGACUGCUUGCUUUUCUAGUUAUACCAACUCAUAAAUGUUCUUCCUUGAGCUGCGUCACCCCGCUGAAGCCGAUGGACUCGCCCGGAGGUCUACUUACAAACAGGUGGCUGCUGGAAGAGAGUGGGUGAGUUGUGUUUAGUCUCUUUGCAAAAGAAAUUAGGCAAAGUUAAAAAGAUGUUUGGUGGCUAGUGCUAUGGCUGGGACCCUAUAUGUACUGUUGUUGAAGUUGGGUGCUGUUCUGAGCUUUAUUUGUGGCUAUAGAGUGGCGUUUUGGUUGGGCGUGUGGCUCUCUGUAUUGUUAUCUGCGGUCGUUACUAAAGUUGGUAUAACUAGAGAAACAAGCGGUCAGCAAUAUUCAUCUCUCGAAAGGGUGUCCAACUCAACGUUACGGUAUAUUUACGCCGGAAUAUCCCUUUAAUCAAAUUGAUAGACAUUAAAGCUACAUAUAUAAACGGUUAUAUCUGAUUGUCCGGUCAUGAAUUUAUAAAAAGAGAAAUAUUUCAGUUUUGUUAAGUUUAUUCUACCAUAACACUACUGUACUGGAUGAAGUGGUUGCAAAUGACCAACUUUGUGAUCACUGUUCUCCUGGAAGUCCACUUUUUCCUGGAGGGAGGCAGGGUGAUGGUGACCCGGGGGGAAGGCAGAGCCGGGCAGGCUGGCCACAGGAAGAUAAACAGGCUGCUCUGUAUUGUUCUCCUGGUAUCACUGAGAAACUGUCAGCCGGACUGAUUGAAAGCUCAACCUUCCCCAAAAUAGUCCCUGUGAGGCCGAGCUGACUCUCCCUUCCACCCUGUUAUAAAUAACCCCUGUGUGUGUGUGUGUUUGUGUGGGUGGGUCGGUGUGUGUGUGUGUGUUUGGGCAUUUCGUGUGUGUGUGUUUUAGAGUAAGGGCAAGAAAGACAGCGUGUGUUUGCAGAGAGAGAGAGAGAGGGGAGAGAGAGUAAUGUGAUCAGUGCCAAUGCAGCCUUAGAAAGUGAAGCCACCGAAAACAAUAACAGGAGGUCUGCGGGGCUUAGAGCCAAACAGUGACAGAGACACUGCGGUCAAGACCCUCUGCUGACCUCUUCUCGAAUAUCCACACACACACACACAGACACACACACACUGAUUUGGACUUCUCAAUAAUUGCAGUAAUAGUACACUCCUCUCACUCUAGUAUCCAGGCUGCUUGAGUCCAGCUCUUAAGUGCAUGCACCCAUGCUUUUGUGUGUUUAAGUCAAUAACGUUUGGACAGGGGCUUGUAAAUUACCACCUGAGGGAAUAUCACCGGAUCAUUCGUUCCACAGGUGUGCUGGGGUAAAUGUUUUUCAUGCAAAUAUACGGCAGUAGGUCACCAGUUGAACCAACAUUAAAGCGCAUAUCUCUGCAGGUGGGUGGAGAUUCCUGUGCUUGUUUGCGGCUCUCGGCAACAAUUAAACACAACAAUCUUUCCUUUUUAAAUGCAGAAUGAAGCUGUCAGAAAGUUUCAACCAAACUUCAACCCCAAAAACCUCAGCCCACCCGUGCUGCCUGGCCUCGCUCAGCUCUCAUUCCCAGCCGCCAACUCCCCUCUCUUCUCCUCUUUCCUAUUUCCCCUCACUCUACUGGGUGCACUAACUCCACUCAGCUCAGCCCAAACUCCCAGUUUAUACAAAGAGUUUUUGGGCAUGUUGCUUUUUGUUUGAUCUGGCUGCUCUUUAGACGCGUCAGAAAGUCUCCACUUUGAAUCCACGUGUCCAAUGCUUCACCUCUGAUUCAGACAGGCUCUUGCGCUCAACUUGAGAUGAAUUUAAAAGUGAUAGAUGUUCCUGCAUGCUGAGCUGGUGGCUGUGCUGUGUGAAGUCCCACUCACAAAGACUCAUAGAUCAGUCAAAACUCUGCACAGUAGUGUACAGUCUCUGCUUGGCCUCAGUCUGCUCCCAAGUAUGUCUGCUAUGCUCUGCACUCUGCUGACCUGAUUUUCUAUCCUGCUCUCAUCAGGAGCAGGAUACCUCGAGAGAAGAGGGAGCAGAUCGAGGCCACAGAGAGAGAAACUUUCUCCAAUCAACAGCUUCGGUGUGACAGCGGUUUAUUGUUCUAACCAACCUGUUGAAUCGCUCUCGGGAGGGAGAAGUUUAUGGGUUCAGGAGGAGGUCAGAGGUCAUGUUUACUCUUUGACCACUUUAGUAAUCGAGGAGAAUAAACCAAACCCCUCUGUAAAUUUACAAACAUUUGCAUUUGCUGCUCACUGUAAAUUCUUUAUGGUGAGUAGAGUGAAGAAAAAGAAGGCUUAGGGAGGCAAGCAUCAGUUUUGAAUUUACUUGCAUGACUUUGUGCCAACCCAUGUGGACGACGCCCAUGCUCUGACAUCCCAUACUGCUGCUGCUCGAGUUGUUCAAAUCACACAGGGUGCAAAAGAAGCAAGGCAGACUCAGGAAAUCAUUGCAAUCGAACAGAAAACACAAGGGAAGGAUAUUUAUCCAGACUGAGAAUUUGAGGCUACUAGUGCCAGCAGCAAGACUUGAUUUAUUGUGCCAAAUUCAAAAGAUGUGGUAUUUUAUGAAACAAUUAUUAAGAAACCACUUUUGAAUUCUGAUAAACCAUCUUAUAAAGAGUUGUUAUUGAAGAUUCUUGCAGAAUCUAUUGAUGAAAUAUGCUGUUGUAAUAAUUGAAGCCAUGUGUAAACCAUCUUAGGCGAGAAAGAGUUCAAUCAAUUUCAGCCCUGCAUGGUCCUCUGUAGUGUUUAUAUCCAGUGCAUGUUUAAAACCCAGUGACUCCCUUUUCUCUUCUUCAUACUCUGUGUGGAAACUAGUGAAGCCUUAGGGAGUAAGAGGAGGAGAAGCUGACCUCAGGCUUUGACCUCAGGUUGUUUUCUGGAUUCCUGCUUCUGGUGCGUAGUGUAACUUAAACCUGAGUGGAGGAAAGAGAGAUGGACCGGUCAGUUCAUACGAGGCGAAAGGAUGAGAGGUAGUCAGCCAAAUUAUGAGGCUUUGUUGGAUGUGUUGUGGUGGAUUAUGAAGAAUGUUUCAGAUCUGUUAGGGUGCAGGUAGUUUCAGGGAUGUAGUUGCAAAAUGUUUCAACAGUGAUUUUAUAUUUGUGCAUGCAUUUGCCCCUUGCAGGGAGGGAAACAUGCAUCACUACUUUUCCUUAAUGCCCACUUUAUUAUCAUUUUCUAAGGUUUUAUAACUUCAUCUCUUGUUCUUCAAGAGUGUUCACUUAAGGGUAUUUUCUUUACACAGCACUCACACUUCAGAUAGUAUUCAGGGAGGAUUGUUUCUACAGAGGUUGGAUUACAACCCAAGCAUGGCAGUCUGCUGCCCCACAGUCCUGAAUGCAGAGGGGCCCAGUUCACCCCAGGUUUACCUUGUCUCAUUUGUUAUUCACUAAUUUGAUUAAAUGCAAAUUAGUUGGGGCCUCUCUUUAAGUCCUGCAUUAUUAUCCUGUCUUGUGUCUCCGCUGUGAGGGGAUGUGGGCCCCUUCACAUGACAGCGGUUUAGGAACUUAAAGAGCAUUUCUAGCGUGGGUCUGCCAAAGUGUAACAAUCUAGACAGGAAUUUCAUUUACAUAGACGGAUGUAAAGAAAGUUAUUGUUUUGUCUCAGCAUAGAUAUAAAAUAUCCACAGUUUAAGAUGUUUAAGUGACAUUUCACCAGUUUUGUAAACUUGUAAUUCAGCUCAGGUUUCAUUCUGUCAUGAAAUCAGGUGUUUUAUAUUUCUGGGUUUACAAAAUGUUUUUUUUUAAAGAUACAGCUACUAAUGCCGCUGAGGUUUUGGCCCCUUAAUUUUAACAGAACGUUUGUGUUAGAAAGUACAAACUUGGAACUUAAGACUGAUUUAUACGUGUUUGAGAGGUCAAGAUGAUAGAAAGAGUCAAAGUGUAGGAAAAAAUGCCAGCUACAUUUCUGAAGGUCAACUUACCCCAUACACGGGGUAAGUUGACCAUAGGAGACCACUUUUUUUUUGCAUGCUAUAUUAUCAAGACAGUUCUGUUUACACUCAUUCUGUUGGUUUGCAGGGAUGAACAACAUCUUGAAAUAUAUGCAGAUACACUAGUUAGAGACAAAACUAUGAUUUACUUGAUCACAGCCUCUCAAUGCCCACAGAGUUAAAGUCUAAUAUCAUGUCUGUGCCCCACAUACAGCUCUGCAGUCUAAAAGUAACACAAACGUUACAGGUGGGUGUCAGGUCUGUCAUCACUGACUGAGAUCUCCAUGACUGAACAGGACAGGAAUUCAUAUCAGCAGUUAAAUGAGAGGCGGGCUGUGAUUAAGCACAGUACUGUAUAACCAAUCGACCAUAAACAUACCAAGGUACUUAUUACCCAGCUGCAUUGCUCUUCUCUGUCUUUUGUUGUACAGUGUCUGCCAUGCCAAACCAUACCACACAGGCCUGUCUACACAAACAUAAACCUUAUUGUUUGUUGUUGUUGCUUUGUGUACAUUUUUGGCCCAGUGGCUCGUCUGAAUGGGCAACAAUUGCUCUUUGUCAGAAUAAUUGGAACAAGGUUAUUUCAGCAGUUUUGUUAGCCAAUUAAGGUCCAACCAAGCCGCCCUCGUCCUCUCCCUCUCAUGUCCUGGUCUCGCCAGUGACGACUGUAACCCCUCAUUAGAAAGCUCCGCCCAUUUUCCCUCUUAUCUCCCAGAUUCACCCGAUUUGAACCCUCUUCUUUUUGCUCUUAUCCCCCCCCUGUAAUGAUCCUCCCACCUGAAGAGCAUCAGUGUGUUUACGGGUUCACAGAACUUUAAACUGAAGUGCUUUUAGAGAGGAGGUAUUUCUCAGCCACGUCCAGACCACACUGUAAAGAUGUCAGCCGUUUUCAGAGCACACACGCCCUGCUUUGAUCUGGACCCUGGCAGAGGAUUGGUGGAAUGGAGCAAAUAUUGACUCCAUCUGAGCCAGACAAAUCGCUCCCCCUUCCUGCGUUCCUUCUCUUUCAGUCUCCUUUACACUUGCUCAGUUCUCGUCUAAUCUGCCAUUACCUCUUUCUCCCACAUUCCCUUUCAUCCCCUUUCUGCUGCGGCCUUUCUUUUUGCUCCCUUUGUGUCCCCGUCUGUCAGUCCUCCCUGCCCUCCCCUCUCUACUACUCUGUCUGUGUAGCUGGAACAGUUGAGUACGUUCCCCUAGCUUCACUGCAUGGAUUUCUACAUCUCAAUGUGUAGCCAGUUUGGAUUUCAUGCUGUCCGAAUCGAUGUGUUUCGCCUUUAUCUGCUGUAUAAAUUGAACUACAUGCUUCAGCCUUAAGCCUGCAUGAGGGAGUUUUCAAACAUGCACAGGCAAAAUGUGAAGAUGUUAAUAAGAGACAUGCGCUGACAUACUUUAUGAAAUGUUCACAUACUGUAUGUUACGGCCAACUGCCACAAAUAUGAAACCUGAAUCGGUGUCUGUUUACAGAAAAAGACUAAAGGGAUCUAGAUUAUAUGUAUCUGAAUUUUGUAGGUGUUCCCACCAGCUCUGAAGUAGAACUGGAGUUUCCCCAAAAAGACCAAAGCUUAAGUUAAACCUCUGCAAAGAUACUUGGCAAUGUUUCUGUGAAACUACUCAGAGAGGAGAGUUAUAGGCGACCAGAAGUUCAUCUUGAGCGUCUGAAACAUCAGGGAAGCACAUUUGUUAAUCCUAUUCCUGUUGGCAGGUUUUGAAGUAGAGAAGAAAAACCCAUAAUGUUACAUAAGUUACUUGCACAAAAACAAGCUCAGAGCCCACCAAAUAUCAUCAUCACAGCCUCACAGAAAGAUGGCCGACUCUUUGGAGCUUCUGGUGUAACAAUUUUGAUGGUAAUGUAAGACUUGAUUUUCUGAAUGUUACCUUUGUUGAAGCCUGAUAUUUGUAAGGCCUGAAAGGAGUUUGGAGACCAAAUUGUUAGCUGAACUUUUGUGCAAACUUGUGCUUAAAAGCAUUAAGUUAAAGAUCAUCACUGUGAGCUGAGGUGUUCAAGGACGGUAUUGUACUGUGGUUUGCUCCUUGCUCUCUACAUAGACUCCCCUCCUC
Non-coding RNA from Xyrichtys novacula (pearly razorfish), 8729 nucleotides. The record is from the annotation of a GenBank genome assembly. NCBI's taxonomy places the organism in Eukaryota, Metazoa, Chordata, Actinopteri, Labriformes, Labridae.